GUCCGAUGAUGAGUUUGCCAUGCUAAUACCGAGAUGUCACACCAGGCGGCUCUGCUCUCUGGUGCUGGAUAUCGCUGAGUUCAUUUAUUUCGCCCAUCAUGUGUGAUGGACUGAGGACA
This is a small nucleolar RNA of Lineus longissimus, 119 nucleotides long. The record is from RefSeq and is a predicted model, not a curated record. NCBI's taxonomy places the organism in Eukaryota, Metazoa, Nemertea, Pilidiophora, Heteronemertea, Lineidae.